Molecule: non-coding RNA, 69 nt
Organism: Podarcis lilfordi (Lilford's wall lizard)
Lineage: Eukaryota; Metazoa; Chordata; Lepidosauria; Squamata; Lacertidae
Source: the annotation of a GenBank genome assembly
GCCAUAACUCAGUGGUAGAGCAUUUGCCUUUCAAACAGAAGGUCCCAGGUUCAUAUUCAGGUAGGGAUG